Long non-coding RNA from Falco peregrinus (peregrine falcon), 1371 nucleotides. RefSeq lists it as uncharacterized. Lineage: Eukaryota; Metazoa; Chordata; Aves; Falconiformes; Falconidae. The transcript has 4 exons. The record is from RefSeq and is a predicted model, not a curated record.
CGGGGCCGGGGGGGGGGGCCCGGGGCGAGCAGACGGGCCGGCCCCCGGGGAGAGCGGCAGCCGUGGCGAAUGGCGCUGCCCCCCGGGGGGGGGGUGACCCCUGCCCCGGCCCCACGCCCGGGCUGUCCCAGCCCAGGCGCUCGGGCUUUGUCCCCGCCGGCCGCCCCGUCCCUCCUCCCGCGCUCCCCCGCCCUCCAGCCAUCCCUCCGUCGCCGGCUCUGCCUCAACUUUAGAGGCAGGUCCCGGAGGCGCCGGGGAGCGGGAGCGGGACCUGUACCCGCACCGGCACCGGGAGGGAGCAUCCAGGCUCCAUCCCGGGCCAAGCCCCCUCCCCACCCUGCCAGCCUGGGAAGGAUGCGGCGACCCGGAGCUGACGGCGACCGUGGGCAGCACCAGCCCCGCGGGGCGAGCAGAGGAGAAACCCCCGCGUUGCUUGGAUCACCACGGUCCAGCAGCAUCCCUCACCGGUGACGGGCAUGGGGCGAAGCAGCCAGAGAGAUGGGGAGACCACCCACCCCGCAGCACCCUAGAAAUCAAAAGAGAGAGGAGCCCUGUGGGGUGCUGUGGACUGAGCUUUCCUGCCCUUGGGAGCCACCAGACCGGGAGAAGGUUGCUCCUGCCAUGGGUUUGCAGCAGCAAAGUUGGACGUGGCUGUUGGGGACGGGCUGGUUUGGUCACAUCCCUGCACGGUGAGCGCAGCGCCCACGGAGCCAGGCACGGGAAGCUAGCUGCGCUGCCCUGAGGAUGCUUGAGACCCCUCUGUCUCUCCUGAAUGGGGCAGCUGCCCAGCAGCGCAGUGGGGGCUCUGUGGGCUGCACCCCACAGCCAGGGUGUUGGAACCCCCUACAACCAACCGGCUGCAACAAGGAGGUGAUGUGAGCGGAUGCCGUGGGGGCCGGGUGGCCAGGAAGGCUGGAGAAAAGCCAAGGCUCGGUUCGAAGCGCGGGCAGGAUCUGUGCGGAUGCCCUUCCCACCCCCGGGGUAAGGGCUUGCUCCCUCCUUUCCCAUCUAAGCAGCCCCAAGGCUGAAGCCAGACGUGCCCAGGACGUCACACUUGGGGGUCCCCCCCAACCUUGCUGCCAGACGAGGUGCACGGACCGUGAGAUGGCAUUCCAGGAAGAUGGAAAGACCCAGAGCUGCUGAUGCCGAGCCCGAGGCGUUGGGAGGACGAGGUCUGCAGCUCAACGAGGCGAAAGGGAAAAAAAAAAUAUGUGCAUUAAAGGUGUUCAAAGCCCCCAGCUGUGUCGCAGCCACAUGUGCCACUGGUGUCUGAGAAGAAUUUUGCCCCUUUUUCUUGGAGGACCCCCCAAAUCCCUGCAAGACCCGGUGUCCAGUGUGUGUCUCCUUCCCAGCAGGUCGAGCUUUUUGCCU